Molecule: long non-coding RNA, 1005 nt
Filed under: Gouania willdenowi (blunt-snouted clingfish)
Lineage: Eukaryota; Metazoa; Chordata; Actinopteri; Blenniiformes; Gobiesocidae
Description: lncRNA (ENSGWIG00000003386.1)
Source: RNAcentral
CGCAAUAAUAAUUGCAAAAGAAUUCAUAUCUGGCUUAGAGGACGAGAGCACUUCCGGGUCAACAGCGUCGCUAUCAUCUUCCGCACACAAAAUGGAAUAUGAAUGGGGGCGUUUAAUUGACUUUUAUUUCGAUUUGGGUUUAAAAUACAGACAUUUAAGAGUAGUGCUGGCCAACAGACAUGAUAUUAAUAUUAGUGAAAGACAUCUGAAGAGAGUUUUGCGGAAAAGGGGACACUCAAGACGCAAGGAAUACUCCGACCUGGCGGUUCUGGUUGACUUCAUAAGCACACAACUAAACGGUUCUGGACAGCUUCACGGAUAUCGGUGGAUGUACGCCAAGUGCCGAGAAAAUGGUCUACGCGUGAGAAAGGAAGACGUGCGCAUUAUACUCAGGGAAUUGGAUCCAAACGGUGUCUCCAGAAGGCAAGCCAGGAGACUUCGGAGAAGAAACUACUUUUCCAGAGGACCCAACUUUAUCUGGCAUAUUGACUCUUACGACAAGUUGAAGCCGUAUGGAUUUUGUAUCAAUGGUUGCAUUGAUGGAUUUUCGAGAAAAAUGAUUUGGCUUAAUGUAUAUACAACUAACAGUGACCCAAAACUGAUUGGGGGGUAUUACGUGGAAGCUGUACAAGGUCUUGGAGGGUGUCCUAGAGUCAUGAGAGGCGAUCUUGGGACAGAGAAUUGUUAUGUUAGAGGAUUUCAGCGGUUCUUGGUCCCGACUCCAGCAGGAAGCACACUUGACAGCUACUUGGCAGGAGCCAGUACUGCCAACCAAAGAAUAGAGUACUGGUGGGGAUUUCUUAGAAAGCAGUGUGCGGAAUUUUGGAUGUCAUUGUUCGGUGAUCUUCGAGAUAACGGAUCUUUCGAUGGUGGUUUUCUGGACAAAAACCUUCUGCAGUUUUGCUUUAUGGGUUUAAUACAGGUGAGUGAAUUAACUAUUGUUAGAAAUGUAACCCUGUUUUUAUGUUGGCAGUGGCUAUCCGUACGUAGCCGUAUCAAUAUACU